UGGGGAAUAUUGCACAAUGGGGGAAACCCUGAUGCAGCGACGCCGCGUGAGCGAAGAAGGCUUUCGAGUUGUAAAGCUCUGUCCUAUGAGAAGAUAAUGACGGUAUCAUAGGAGGAAGCCCUGGCUAAAUACGUGCCAGCAGCCGCGGUAAUACGUAUGGGGCGAGCGUUGUCCGGAAUUAUUGGGCGUAAAGGGUACGUAGGCGGUUUUUUAAGUCAGGUGUCAAAGCGUGGCGCUUAACUCCAUUAAGCACUUGAAACUGAAAGACUUGAGUGAAACAGAGGAAAGUGGAAUUCCUAGUGUAGCGGUGAAAUACGUAGAUAUUAGGAGGAAUACCGGUGGCGAAGGCGACUUUCUGGACUUUUUCUGACGCUCAGGUACGAAAGCGUGGGGAGCAAACAGG
This 403-nucleotide ribosomal RNA is filed under the name Verrucomicrobiota bacterium. Its description in RNAcentral is "Verrucomicrobia bacterium partial 16S ribosomal RNA". It matches the Rfam family "Bacterial small subunit ribosomal RNA", at positions 355 to 776 of the family's 1533-position model. The record is from RNAcentral. Lineage: Bacteria; Pseudomonadati; Verrucomicrobiota.